RNAcentral lists this ribosomal RNA (372 nucleotides) under uncultured organism. Its description in RNAcentral is "partial 16S ribosomal RNA". It matches the Rfam family "Bacterial small subunit ribosomal RNA", at positions 527 to 896 of the family's 1533-position model. The record is from RNAcentral.
GUAGGUGGCAAGCGUUGUCCGGAAUUAUUGGGCGUAAAGCGCGCGCAGGGCGGUCCUUUAAGUCUGAUGUGAAAGCCCACGGCUCAACCGUGGAGGGUCAUUGGAAACUGGGGGACUUGAGUACAGAAGAGGAAAGCGGAAUUCCACGUGUAGCGGUGAAAUGCGUAGAGAUGUGGAGGAACACCAGUGGCGAAGGCGGCUUUCUGGUCUGUAACUGACGCUGAGGCGGGAAAGCGUGGGGAGCAAACAGGAUUAGAUACCCUGGUAGUCCACGCCGUAAACGAUGAGUGCUAAGUGUUAGGGGGUUUCCGCCCCUUAGUGCUGCAGCUAACGCAUUAAGCACUCCGCCUGGGGAGUACGGCCGCAAGGCUG